Molecule: long non-coding RNA, 162 nt
Organism: Sapajus apella (tufted capuchin)
Lineage: Eukaryota; Metazoa; Chordata; Mammalia; Primates; Cebidae
Exons: 3
Source: RefSeq, a predicted model, not a curated record
GUACCUCUUCAGUAGAAAAAUGCAAUGAGGUUUCUCACACCUUCUACCUAUGGGCCAGUUACAUACAGAAGAGAAAACUGAAACUGAAAACUGAUUUGUCAUUUUUACAAAAAGUCGCCGAGAAGAAAAAUUCCCAGUACAGAAUGGAAAAUGGCUGCUCCA